Molecule: small RNA, 29 nt
Filed under: Bombyx mori (domestic silkworm)
Lineage: Eukaryota; Metazoa; Arthropoda; Insecta; Lepidoptera; Bombycidae
Description: piRNA piR-bmo-1426761
Source: RNAcentral
UAAAGUGUCAAUGUGUGGCGUGGUGUAUC